This 319-nucleotide ribosomal RNA is filed under the name uncultured Alphaproteobacteria bacterium. Its description in RNAcentral is "bacterial SSU rRNA". It matches the Rfam family "Bacterial small subunit ribosomal RNA", at positions 9 to 355 of the family's 1533-position model. The record is from RNAcentral. Lineage: Bacteria; Pseudomonadati; Pseudomonadota; Alphaproteobacteria.
GAGUUUGAUCCUGGCUCAGAACGAACGCUGGCGGCAGGCUUAACACAUGCAAGUCGAACGCGUGUAGCAAUACACGAGUGGCGCACGGGUGAGUAACACGUGAUAUCUGCCUUUUGGUUCGGGAUAACCCUGGGAAACUAGGGCUAAUACCGAAUGGUUCCUACGGGAUAAAGAUUUAUCGCCAAAAGAUGAGUCCGCGUCCGAUUAGCUAGUUGGUGAGGUAAUGGCUCACCAAGGCGACGAUCGGUAGCUGGUCUGAGAGGACGAUCAGCCACACUGGGACUGAGACACGGCCCAGACUCCUACGGGAGGCAGCAGU